AGAAUCAACGCUGGCGGCGUGCCUAACACAUGCAAGUCGAACGCGAAAGUGGAGCAAUCCAUGAGUAGAGUGGCGAACGGGUGAGUAACACGUGGGUGACCUACCUUCGAAUGGGGGAUAACGUCCCGAAAGGGACGCUAAUACCGCAUAACAUCCUGCCUUUGAACAGGUGGAGAUCAAAGCCGGGGAUCGCAAGACCUGGCGCGAGAAGAGGGGCCCGCGUCCGAUUAGCUAGUUGGUGAGGUAACGGCUCACCAAGGCUCCGAUCGGUA
RNAcentral lists this ribosomal RNA (272 nucleotides) under uncultured bacterium. RNAcentral's name for it is "partial small subunit ribosomal RNA". It matches the Rfam family "Bacterial small subunit ribosomal RNA", at positions 26 to 285 of the family's 1533-position model. The record is from RNAcentral.